GAUGAACGCUGGCGGCGUGCUUAACACAUGCAAGUCGAACGAUGAAGCCCAGCUUGCUGGGUGGAUUAGUGGCGAACGGGUGAGUAACACGUGAGUAACCUGCCCUUAACUCUGGGAUAAGCCUGGGAAACUGGGUCUAAUACCGGAUAGGAGCGUCCACCGCAUGGUGGGUGUUGGAAAGAUUUAUCGGUUUUGGAUGGACUCGCGGCCUAUCAGCUUGUUGGUGAGGUAAUGGCUCACCAAGGCGACGACGGGUAGCCGGCCUGAGAGGGUGACCGGCCACACUGGGACUGAGACACGGCCCAGACUCCUACGGGAGGCAGCAGUAGGGAAUAUUGCACAAUGGGCGCAAGCCUGAUGCAGCGACGCCGCGUGAGGGAUGACGGCCUUCGGGUUGUAAACCUCUUUCAGUAGGGAAGAAGCGAAAGUGACGGUACCUGCAGAAGAAGCACCGGCUAACUACGUG
This 466-nucleotide ribosomal RNA is filed under the name uncultured bacterium. Its description in RNAcentral is "partial 16S ribosomal RNA". It matches the Rfam family "Bacterial small subunit ribosomal RNA", at positions 28 to 507 of the family's 1533-position model. The record is from RNAcentral.